CAACAAUGAUGGCUGCAACCAAAAAAUAGCCAGGCAUUGUGGCAGGUGCCUGUAAUCCCAGCUACUUAGGAGGCAGAGGCAGGAGAAUCACUUGAACCCAGGAGUUGGAGGUUGCUGUGAGCUAUGAUGCCAGAGCACUCUACCCAGGGUGACAGCUUGAGGCUCUGUCUCAAAAAAAAAAAAAAAAAGAAAAAGAAAAAGAAAUACUCCCAGGGACAUUGGACAGUGGGAGGCAGGAGCCUCCACUGGACAGAAGCUUCUUCCCCAUAUACGCCUGUUCAGUGUGCUUCUACAGGGCUCUCUCUGGGCUGUUUGGCCAAAUUUGGGACCAAGGGAAGGGAGCUUGAUAAAGUUUUCAAGUUCCUGCAUCCAUAGCAUUUGUGGUCAGCCUUUCCCCUCUACCUCCCUUGCCUGAUCCACUCCCCUGAACUCCACUUGCCCAGGUGCUCCCUUGCCCCAGACCUACUAGCUGGGACCCUGCCAGUUCUGGCCUCUCCCUGCCACUUUUCCUGUCACUGGACCAACCCAACUUUCUACAGCAUCCCCAGAGACCAUUUAGGAGUUUGGAAAACAGGGCAGGAAAGGGAGGGAGGAAAAAGUACCAAAAAGUCAACAAAACAGAACAAAAACAAUAACCAUGACAACAAAAAACCAAAACUGAAAUAAAAAUCAAAAAUCAGAAAAUCAAAUGGCGAAAAGGGAAAAGGCAAAAAGAAAAGAAAAAGUGAAAAAAGAAAAGAAAAGAAAAGAAAAAUGCCCCAGAAUAAAGCAAGGCUCAACAAGACCAGGAGAGAGGGCAGUGUGGGGGGAGGCCUUGGGCUUCUGGAAAGAAAAGAAGCUCCUUUGGGGGUAGCCACAGAGCCCUGAACAGCUGGCCUUUGGGCUAGAAAUGGAAUGUUGUACCUCAAAAACAGAAACAAAAUUUUAAAAAUUGGGCCCCUAUUGUUUGGAAAUUUCUAAAAACUAUACAGAAAUCAUAGGGCCCAAAAUUGCCCCACCAAUCCAAUUGUUAAAAAUGCCAGUGCCUUCCACUCUGGCCAGUCUCUGUGGCCAGAGACGGUUCCUUCUGAUUGGCAGCAGGUAACUGUCUUUGGCGCAUGAAAACCAAGAAAACAAUCACUUCUUAGUAAAAGCAGCCUGUCUAUUUAAUAGUAUACUCUUUCAAAAUAUAAAGGUCACAAUGGAAAAAAGUUUAAGAGUAGCGAUGUGGUCCCACCCCUCUGUGUUGGAGAUGGGAACAUUGAGGAAGGCUCAGAACAGAGGUACACAGUGUGUCAGAAGUGGCCACAGCCUUUCUGGUCAAGCCUUGCUCCGGCCAGAGUCCCCCAGCAGGGUGGGAGGCUCAGGCAGGGCUGGGGAGCAAAAUUUUUAAAAAGAAAAAGAAAAAAAAAAAAGGAGGGGAAGAAAGAAAAGAAAAA
Nycticebus coucang (slow loris) is the source of this 1418-nucleotide long non-coding RNA. RefSeq lists it as uncharacterized. Lineage: Eukaryota; Metazoa; Chordata; Mammalia; Primates; Lorisidae. The transcript is spliced from 2 exons. The record is from RefSeq and is a predicted model, not a curated record.